This 300-nucleotide ribosomal RNA is filed under the name uncultured bacterium. Its description in RNAcentral is "bacterial SSU rRNA". It matches the Rfam family "Bacterial small subunit ribosomal RNA", at positions 496 to 795 of the family's 1533-position model. The record is from RNAcentral.
GCAAACUACGUGCCAGCAGCCGCGGUAAUACGUAGGCUUCAAGCGUUAUCCGGAUUUAUUGGGCGUAAAGGGUGUGUAGGGGGUUUCGCGCGUCUCCUGUUAAAGACCGCUGCUCAACGGCGGAAGUGCGGGGGAUACGGCGAAACUAGAGGGCGCGAGAGGUUUGCGGAACACAUGGUGUAGGGGUGACAUCCGUUGAUAUCAUGUGGAACACCGAAGGCGAAGGCAGCAAACUGGCGCGUUCCUGACCCUGAAACACGAAAGCGUGGGGAGCAAAAAGGAUUAGAUACCCCGGUAGUC